CCUACGGGUGGCAGCAGUGAGGAAUAUUGGUCAAUGGGCUUACGCCUGAACCAGCCAAGUCGCGUGAGGGAAGACUGCCCUAUGGGUUGUAAACCUCUUUUGUCAGGGAGCAAUUGGCGCUACGUGUAGCGUUCUCGAGAGUACCUGAAGAAAAAGCAUCGGCUAACUCCUUGCCAGCAGCCGCGGUAAUCCGGAGGAUGCGGGCGUUCUCCGGAUUGAUUGGGUUUAAAGGGUGCGUAGGCGGAAUGCCAAGUCAGCGGUAAAAUCGCGGGGCUCAACCUCGCUCCGCGGUUGAAACUGGCGGUCUGGAGUGGGCGAGAAGUAUGCGGAAUGCGGGGUGUAGCGGUGAAAUGCAUAGAUAUCACGCAGAACUCCGAUUGCGAAGGCAGCAUACCGGCGCCAAACUGACGCUGAAGCACGAAAGCGUGGGUAUCGAACAGGAUUAGAUACCCUUGUAGUC
RNAcentral lists this ribosomal RNA (460 nucleotides) under uncultured bacterium. RNAcentral's name for it is "partial 16S ribosomal RNA". It matches the Rfam family "Bacterial small subunit ribosomal RNA", at positions 338 to 795 of the family's 1533-position model. The record is from RNAcentral.